Molecule: ribosomal RNA, 459 nt
Filed under: uncultured bacterium
Lineage: Bacteria
Description: partial 16S ribosomal RNA
Rfam family: Bacterial small subunit ribosomal RNA
Source: RNAcentral
CCUACGGGAGGCAGCAGUGAGGAAUAUUGGUCAAUGGCCGGAAGGCUGAACCAGCCAAGUCGCGUGAGGGACGAAGGUGCCAAGGAUUGUAAACCUCUUUUGUCAGGGAGCAAAAUCACCCACGUGUGGCUGAUGGAGGGUACUUGAAGAAAAAGCAUCGGCUAACUCCGUGCCAGCAGCCGCGGUAAUACGGAGGAUGCGAGCGUUAUCCGGAUUUAUUGGGUUUAAAGGGUGCGUAGGCGGGUUAUUAAGUCAGCGGUAAAAGCCCGGGGCUCAACCCCAUCGAGCCGUUGAAACUGACGAUCUUGAGAGGGCGAGAGGUAUGCGGAAUGCGCAGUGUAGCGGUGAAAUGCUUAGAUAUUGCGCAGAACUCCGAUUGCGAAGGCAGCAUACCGGCGGCGGACUGACGCUGAAGCACGAAAGCGUGGGUAUCGAACAGGAUUAGAUACCCCAGUAGUC